AGGCGUAUAGCUCAGCCGGUCAGAGCGCCACCCUUAUAAGGUGGAGGUCCUGGGUUCGAGUCCCAGUGCGCCUACCA
RNAcentral lists this transfer RNA (77 nucleotides) under Parcubacteria group bacterium. Its description in RNAcentral is "tRNA-Ile". It matches the Rfam family "tRNA". Rfam says of the family: Transfer RNA (tRNA) molecules are approximately 80 nucleotides in length. Their secondary structure includes four short double-helical elements and three loops (D, anti-codon, and T loops). The record is from RNAcentral.